This 639-nucleotide ribosomal RNA is filed under the name uncultured actinomycete. Its description in RNAcentral is "bacterial SSU rRNA". It matches the Rfam family "Bacterial small subunit ribosomal RNA", at positions 232 to 885 of the family's 1533-position model. Lineage: Bacteria; Bacillati; Actinomycetota; Actinomycetes; Actinomycetales. The record is from RNAcentral.
CACGGCCUAUCAGCUUGUUGGCGGGGUAACGGCCCACCAAGGCAUCGACGGGUAGCUGGUCUGAGAGGACGAUCAGCCACACUGGGACUGAGACACGGCCCAGACUCCUACGGGAGGCAGCAGUGGGGAAUCUUGCGCAAUGGGCGAAAGCCUGACGCAGCAACGCCGCGUGCGGGAUGAAGGCCUUCGGGUUGUAAACCGCUUUCAGCAGGGACGAAAAUGACGGUACCUGCAGAAGAAGCCCCGGCCAACUACGUGCCAGCAGCCGCGGUAACACGUAGGGGGCGAGCGUUGUCCGGAUUUAUUGGGCGUAAAGAGCUCGUAGGCGGUUCCGUCAGUCGGGUGUGAAAACUCUGGGCUCAACCCAGAGACGCCACCCGAUACUGCGGUGACUAGAGUCCGGUAGGGGAGCGUGGAAUUCCUGGUGUAGCGGUGAAAUGCGCAGAUAUCAGGAGGAACACCAACGGCGAAGGCAGCGCUCUGGGCCGGUACUGACGCUGAGGAGCGAAAGCGUGGGUAGCAAACAGGAUUAGAUACCCUGGUAGUCCACGCCGUAAACGUUGGGCACUAGGUGUGGGGCCUUAUCAACGGGUUCCGUGCCGUAGCUAACGCAUUAAGUGCCCCGCCUGGGGAGUACGG